ACUCCUACGGGAGGCAGCAGUGGGGAAUAUUGCACAAUGGGCGCAAGCCUGAUGCAGCCAUGCCGCGUGUAUGAAAGAAGGCCCUUCGGGUUGUAAAGUACUUUCUAGCAGUGAGGAAGGGUGGGGUAGUGUUAAUAGCAUACUCAUUUUUGACGUUUUAGCUGCAGAAGAAGCACCGGCUAACUCCGUGCCAGCAGCCGCGGUAAUACGGAGGGUGCGAGCGUUAAUCGGAAUUACUGGGCGUAAAGCGCAUGCAGGUGGUUUGUUAAGUUCAGAUGUGAAAGCCCGGGGCUCAACCUCGGAAUUGCAUUUGAAACUGGCAAACUAGAGUACUGUAGAGGGGGUAGAAUUUC
Molecule: ribosomal RNA, 353 nt
Filed under: uncultured bacterium
Lineage: Bacteria
Description: bacterial SSU rRNA
Rfam family: Bacterial small subunit ribosomal RNA
Source: RNAcentral